CUGAUAGGGCUGCUGAGCAGGCCACUGUGAUAUAGUGGUUGUAGGAGAAUUAGAUCCUCGUCGGU
This 65-nucleotide transfer RNA is filed under the name Haplorchis taichui. Its description in RNAcentral is "tRNA-Ile". Lineage: Eukaryota; Metazoa; Platyhelminthes; Trematoda; Opisthorchiida; Heterophyidae. The record is from RNAcentral.